AGGCAGGCCAGGGGCCCCGCGAGCCCCACAGUUAGGUAGUCAGAGGAGUUAAAGGAAGUCCUUAUGAACCACCUCUGCCCCAUGGAGGUGCGUCCAUGCGGGAUCCUUCUAGAAUUAACCGCAAGAGGGAAAGGGAUGAAGAGAUUGAGUUAGGACAUCAUCCUGAAAAGGGAAGGCAACAUUUUCCAGCUGGGGGAAUCUACUUCCUGGUUCACCAUGACAGAUGGGAAAGGACCAGAGACAGUCCUGUCAGAAUCCACAGUCAGAGGAGUGCACAGAAGUGGAGGGGUAGGCUGACUUGUGCCCUCCAUGUGCUGACAGGGAGAGAUGGGGAGAAGCCAACAUGUCUGCGGCCAGCCCUGGGACAAUUCGACAACUGCUGCCUGCACAUUUCUUGCCUUCUUACUCCUGUCAACCCCUCUGUGCCCUCCCCAAAGAACUCCACUUCCACUUUCAUGUCAUCGGGACAUACAUGGUUCUGUGUGCCUGUCGCAUGUAGGACCCACGUAUGAAAGAAAACGGGUGUUGUGUGGCCUAGGACCCACACCAUCAGAUCCUCAAAAUAAUCAUGCCGGUCAGAUAGGCUAGAUCUAUACUUCCACGGCAUCAGGGAACUGAAGCCCGUGAUGUGAGCCAUCUCUCCACAGACACACAGCAAAUACAAGAACUAAGAUAAGCACUUCAAGGUCAUGCACGCGUCCUCCUGGCAGAGGCAAAUCCGAGCAGCGAGAGGAAGUCAAUAGUGGUUGUAGGUGUUGCUGAAGAAGAGGGUGCAGGCUGUAGCUACUGUUGAGGCUUGGGUAGGGAAGACUCACAGCUGCUUCUUCUGUUACCGUUCAGGACUUUACGCUAAAACAACAGUGUGAGUGUGGGUAGGUGGAGGUCAGAUUUCACUGUCAUUCCUCUGACAUAUACCUGUUUUUGGGGAAUCUCACUGGCCUGGAACUUAUCAAGCAGUGCUCAGAGUAAGUCCAAGGUCUCAAGAGGAUAGAUGUACUCCAUGCCACUUAAUGCUGUCACAGCCGCAAGUCUGAUCUGAUUACAUUCUAAAGAUCGUGUUCCUAGGUCAGACACUGCAGUGCCUCAAGAUAUCUGGUAGAUAUCAUAAUCUCAGUCAGCAAAGUGUCUCACCCACUUUGCUCCACCCCAUACCGCACUGCUGAUGGUCUCUCUGUGAGCCUGGCAGCAAUCUCUCUACCCAUCUAUUUCCCAAGGCAGGUUGCCACCAUGCCAGAAAUAUACAUCCCAAUUCCGUGGCGGCCUUGUGUCUCCACCACCACACACUCUCUUAAACUUAAAUCGCCACAAGAAAGAACAUACAACACAAUCACCUCUGAUCCCAUCGAUGAGAUAUAACUGCCCACCUAAACAUACAAAGUCUUGUACACAUCCAUCCCUUAAGAACAUUCAUCACAACCUGUAAAGGUAGAGUGGAAUCUUAGCAUCUGCCUCCAUGUUCUCUUGAUGGCUUCCUCUCCAAUCUCCUUCCGUUCCAGUUUCCUCUUCCCUCAAACUUUUCUCCCGUCCAUCCUUCCUUCUUGUCCAAUGACAGGCCUCAUUCUAUCUUGUACCUGCCUCCACCUGUAUGACAUCCUACAAUCUCCAUAAAGCUAGGUGCCACACCCAUCACAAACCUAGGUCAUAUGGUGUGUGUGCACACAUAUAUAUUGCUCCUGGGACCUUGUCAUCAAAACAGCACAAAUCAAUCAAAAGGGAAACUAAAGCAAACGAGAGGUGCCUGAGACCCCUAUUGACACAGAAGUUACUCCAGACAACGAUUCAAGAGGCUGUCACCCACACACAAAGGACACCACCCACUUGUACGGAGCCGUAUUGGAUUUGGGCCUGGUGGCUUUGUGACUGUAUGGCCAUAAAGUCUUGAGAUUGUUGGACAAAAGCCUCUCCCAUGAAUUUACGGCACAGGAAGAAAAUAAACACGGAAUGCUUUCAGCCCGAACAAAUACCAAGUAUCUCCUGACACCCGGUGUCUCCACCGCAUGACCCCUGCUGAGCCCGGCUGAUGCAUGUGGAACUGACACACCUGGGCCACACCUGGGCCACACCUGGGCCACACCUGGGCCACACCUGGGCCACACCUGGGCCACACCUGGGCCACACCUGGGCCACACCUGGGCCACACCUGGGCCACACCUGGGCCACACCUGGGUGGUGGUCAAUUCGCUCCUGCCUUUUGCUUUCUCAGCCUUUGUCCUUGAGAUUUAGGCUGGUCUUCUCGGAUUUCUCCCUAAUUAAUUCAGGUCUCCUAGUAGUCGGUCUUUUGUUACGAAGUCACUCUUGAGCCAGGGUUUCCCACUGUACUUCCCAGAUAUUUUCUACCUGGGGAACUUGGGUAUAUAAGUGUGAAUAAAGCUACAGGAGUCUCUCUCUCUCUUCCUCUCCUGGCUUGACAUGA
Rattus norvegicus (Norway rat) is the source of this 2413-nucleotide long non-coding RNA. RefSeq lists it as uncharacterized. The record is from RefSeq and is a predicted model, not a curated record. Lineage: Eukaryota; Metazoa; Chordata; Mammalia; Rodentia; Muridae.